This 492-nucleotide ribosomal RNA is filed under the name uncultured bacterium. RNAcentral's name for it is "partial 16S ribosomal RNA". It matches the Rfam family "Bacterial small subunit ribosomal RNA", at positions 29 to 507 of the family's 1533-position model. The record is from RNAcentral.
AGUGAACGCUGGCGGUAGGCCUAACACAUGCAAGUCGAACGGCAGCACAGUAAGAGCUUGCUCUUACGGGUGGCGAGUGGCGGACGGGUGAGGAAUACAUCGGAAUCUACUUUUUCGUGGGGGAUAACGUAGGGAAACUUACGCUAAUACAGCAUACGACCUACGGGUGAAAGCAGGGGAUCUUCGGGCCUUGCGCGAUUGAAUUAGCCGAUGUCGGAUUGGCUAGUUGGCGGGGUAAAGGCACACCAAGGCGACGAUCCGUAGCUGGACUGAGAGGAUGAUCAGCCCAACUGGAACUUGGAAACGGUCCAGACUCCUACGGGAGGCAGCAGGGGGGAAUAUUGGACAAUGGGGGCAAGCCUGAUCCAGCCAUACCGCGUGGGUGAAGAAGGCCUUCGGGUUGGAAAGCCCUUUUGUUGGGAAAGAAAAACAGCAGAUUAAUACCCCGCUGUUCUGACGGUACCCAAAGAAUAAGCACCGGCUAACUUCGUG